RNAcentral lists this unclassified non-coding RNA (200 nucleotides) under uncultured fungus. RNAcentral's name for it is "sequence contains ITS1". The record is from RNAcentral. Lineage: Eukaryota; Fungi.
UUAACUAUUAUAUAGUACUCAGACGACACUGACAAUCAGAAUUUGUCGGGCCUCUGGCGGGCGCGCGCCGGCCGGAGCCGGCGGCCGGGCUAGGCCCAGCAGCCCGCCAAAGCAACACGGUAGCAAUAACAGUGGGUGGGAGAUCUACCCGCGAGGGCGAGAACUCUGUAAUGAUCCCUCCGCAGGUUCACCUACGGAGA